UCGGGAAUUUUGGGCAAUGGGCGAAAGCCUGACCCAGCAACGCCGCGUGAGGGAUGAAGCAUUUCGGUAUGUAAACCUCGAAAGAAUGGGAAGAAUAAAUGACGGUACCAUUUAUAAGCUCCGGCUAACUACGUGCCAGCAGCCGCGGUAAUACGUAGGGAGCAAGCGUUGUUCGGAUUUACUGGGCGUAAAGGGCGCGUAGGCGGCGCGGUAAGUCACUUGUGAAAUCUCUGAGCUUAACUCAGAACGGCCAAGUGAUACUGCUGUGCUAGAGUGCGGAAGAGGCAACCGGAAUUCUUGGUGUAGCGGUGAAAUGCGUAGAUAUCAAGAGGAACACCUGAGGCGAAGGCGGGUUGCUGGGCCGACACUGACGCUGAUGCGCGAAAGCCAGGGGAGCAAACG
Molecule: ribosomal RNA, 402 nt
Filed under: uncultured bacterium
Lineage: Bacteria
Description: bacterial SSU rRNA
Rfam family: Bacterial small subunit ribosomal RNA
Source: RNAcentral